UACAGAGGGUGCAAGCGUUAAUCGGAAUUACUGGGCGUAAAGCGUGCGUAGUCGGUUAUCUAAGUCGGAUGUGAAAUCCCCGGGCUCAACCUGGGAAUUGCAUUCGAUACUGGAUAGCUAGAGUUCGGCAGAGGGAAGUGGAAUUUCGGGUGUAGCGGUGAAAUGCGUAGAUAUCUGGAGGAACACCGGUGGCGAAGGCGGCAUCCUGGACCGGUAUUGACGCUGAGGCGCGAAAGCUAGGGGAGCAAACGGG
This 253-nucleotide ribosomal RNA is filed under the name uncultured bacterium. RNAcentral's name for it is "partial 16S ribosomal RNA". It matches the Rfam family "Bacterial small subunit ribosomal RNA", at positions 524 to 776 of the family's 1533-position model. The record is from RNAcentral.